CGGAGAAGGAAGUUAAUGAACAAAAAGUCCCAAGCUCGGCUUGCUUUCGCUAUCAGCUUUUGUUCUUUCCUUCCGUCGUGCCAAAUCGCAAUUUUUACCCUCGUCCUUUAAGCGCGGUCUAAUUUGUGGCAGCGGAGCAAUGUUAUCCUCGGUAUUUAUCUAUUAUUUAUCAGCGAGCACUGCUGGAGCUGAUGGCAGGAGCGGCCUGCAGACAGCCCCACGUUGUGAAUCCAGGCUGCCCUCACAGGUGAUGAACCAUGGAAGGGACCCUCAGGGUUAUCAGGCCCCCCCGGGCAAUGCACACAGGCCUCCAGCUCAUGUUGCCCAGGGCUUCAUCCAGCCUCCAGCCCUGCCAUGGAUGGAGCAUCCACAGCCCCUUUAGGUAACGUCUUACAGCACCUCGGCCCUCUCAGCAAAAAAGCUUGCCUCUGACAACUCAUCUGAACCUCCUCUCUUUUAGGUUAAAGUCAUACCCCUUGUCCUGUCGCCACCUACCCUUGUAAGAAGUUGAUCUGGCUGCAUUUGGAUGUUUUUUUCCCUCAGUAACCUUUCAACUCCAGCUAACCUGGGCUUCACCUCCAGCAGUACCACCCAGAGCCACCUCUGGAUUUUGACCUCCAGCCCCACUGCUACACCUGCCCCAUCUGAUGGAGCAAGCUGCAAGCAAAGCUAAAUCCUUCAUCCUGAAGAGCCACCCCAGGUACCUGCUUCCCACUCAGCCCCACCUCAUCCCCAUGAAGCUCUGCCAUGGCUGCAGACCUCUCAGGUAUCGUGGGUUACAGGAAAGGAUUGCGCUGCUGAUACCACCAGAAUGAAAUAGCAUCUCGUGACUGUUCUAGCAUGGUAAAGAAGUUGGGGAAGCACAACAACAGGCUCUUGCUUUCACUGCUCUGCCCUCAGUGCAACUUUGGUGCUGUGCUGCAGGCACCAGAGCCCUCUGCCUCUCACCCUGGAUCCACAAAGGAGCAGGUGAUACAAACUCGUCAUCUAUGAACAGACAUGGGAGCCCUUUCCAGAGGAAAUGUAAGGACACCAUCAGGUACAUCCAGCUGUCUGCUCUUCCCUGGGGCUGACGGCAGUACCCCGUAGCUCUAACCUGUCAGUUCAGAGCAUCUAACUUAAUGCGUCAGCUGCACACCUAUGCCCUGUAUGCAAUAACCAGGCACAACGUGCCCUUUCCCCUGCCACCCUCCAAAGAUAAAAUAAAAAGAUCUCACGUUAAAUUUCAUCAAGCACCUGUCACAGGUUUCUUUGUAAAACAGUUUGAUCACAGUGACAGUAUAACCAAGGAAGGAAAAGGAUUGAGCACAUUUUGGUUUUAUGACGGAAUGCACGGGACAUCUCGUACCCUGAGUUAAGUAAACCCUAACCUGUGUGGGCAAUACCUGCUGGUUAAUAGAAAUGCCAUUAUUUAGACCAUCACAAUCAAUACAUUGGAUUUUGCUUCUGCAAGUGAAAGGGCUGUUAUUUUUCAUAUGGUUUGUCAAUAGGCUCUGGGUUAAGAGAUAUAUGAAAGAUAUUCUACACAGGCCAGAGAGUUAUGAGCUCUCAGGUGGAUGAAUUAUUUAAGCUCUUUUCACUUCUAUAAAAAAUAAAUACGGGGAUGGCCAAAACGGAUGCCAUAAAUUCUGUUUCUGAUCUCAGAUUCCCAUCUUUUCUUGUCUGUUCCAAAAGGCCUGGGCUCUUUGUACUGAAAACCUCUUGCCGUUUGCAUCCAUGAAGGGAAAUACAUUAUUAUCACUGAGAUAGCGUCCCUUGGUCUGGACUUUCAGGUGAACAUUUACAACAUACAGGAAUUUAGAGGCAAAAGGAGAUUGUAAAUAGGGCUGGAGGUUGGAAGGAAAGACAUGGAUUUCUCUAAUCAAAACCUCUUCUUGCUCAGUAGGGUCGCCUUCCAAACCAACACAGUCCUGCUGCUCUCUAGAGAUGUCCUCAGCCACUGCAGUCCUUUACAUCUCAUUUCCUGCCCCUUGCUCCUAGUGGCUUGCUCAGUGGCAGGGAAAAGGCAAAAGGGCAGAACUGAACUUGUACUUUUUCUUGGCAGCUCCCCCUGUCGUUCCUGCAUCUCUGCCACUGGCUGGAGGCUACCUGUCCCCAUAAAGAAACCUCAGCAGAGGAAAUUAAUUCAUGGCAAACAGAAAUGAAUUAUUUGAGGACAAAAUAAAAUCUGUGUACUACAGACAGUACGUACCAUGGCAGCUCCUAUGCUGCCUUCAUUGGGUGUCUGUCUCCCAGUUUGGCUCCAGUGAUUCUCUCCAGCCCUCACACACCAACUCAGCAGAGUUUUCUGCCCUACCACUCUAGCUGACAUGAUCCACGAGUUCACCUUAAUGAACGCCAUGUACCCCAACAACAAGUUCAAUAUAUUUUUCCUCCAUUCACAUGUGUGCUCAGAAAAGCCACAGCUCAGAGGAUGGCUCCUCUUUGUUGCCAGAUGCUGGAGGGAUGUUAAAGCAGAAGGGGAGUUCUCCAGCCUGCUCCCACGUAUUAGAAUAUUGCUUCCCUUCCCCACCAACACGUGCUCAAAGCACUCUAAGGCAGCCUGCUCUGUCCUUGCCGUUUCCUUACCCAAUGCACUCUAGUUAAUACCUUUUUCAUAAGGAGUUUUAAAUUAUAAGUCUAAAUGAGGCCAAUAAAUUAUACUUCAUAAAAUUCUGUGCACAUCAUUUUCCCGCAGAAAAGGCUCCAAAGAAAUAUUUUCCGUGCCACCACCUAUGUUCCCAUCCCUUUGCAAUAUAACAUUUAUUCUAAUAUUAAAAUGGCAGCUGCUCUAUAAAUUGUGAAUCAUUAGCACUCUUCAUUGAUUUUUCCCUUGCAGCCUGCAACCCUGGGCAGCGACUGUGUGUGAAUAUCAGUCUAUUGGAUUGAGAUUCAUAUCCUAUUUGAGGGUCAAAGACCGAGACCUCAUGAGCUUGAACUUCUAUCAGCCUAAAGCUGAUCAAUACUUGGAGAUAUAUUUGAUCCUGGCUGCUAGCACAGAUUAAGUGGCCAUAAAUACAAUCAAAAACGUGAGGAGAGAGUCAUUCCAUUUCAGUAUAUUAGUGGUGAUUUUGCGCUGGCUGAGGCAGAAAAAAAUCCAUAAUCAUAAGCCUUAUUAAAGAACAAUAUCCUUUGAGGGCUUUUUGUUUUCCUCUUUAGAUAAUGUGAAGCCUUGAAAAAUAGACAUAGAAAUAGAAAGAAAUAGAGACACUGUGUUACACCGCUGGGGACCACGGCACUCAGGGAAAUUACCUUCCUAUUUUUAGGCAUGUUUACAACACGCCUAUUUGCAGCAUUACCUUUGAUCCUAAACUCUAAUUUAUAGGAUUCUUUUUAUAUGCCUGGGAGACCCGGAAUGGAAACAACCGUAAGCAUGGCAUGAAGUCAAGGGGACUGAUUGGAAAAGCAAAGGACUAACUGCCUGCAGGAGGGAGUGUGGGUGUAAGUGUGGGGAGGAACCACUGCACUCGUCUGCAGGGCACAGCAUCCUCCAUCAGCCAGUGUUAGGAGGGAAGGCACCGCCUGCCCACAGCCAAAGGCAUCCCAGUGUUUAUGUUUACGUGGCUUUGUGUCCUUGUGGUGUCCUUGUGCAGAGAGACUUCAUUAUCAUAAAGAAUAUGUUUUUAUUCCGCUACAUAAGUACUACUUAUUAUCGUCUCAUACAUUUUCUGACACAACCAAGGGGUCUUUAUUGUUGUACAUCAAGGUCACUGACAAGUAAUAUAUUCAAUCUAUUAAGUUAUUAGGGAGAUAAAUAAUUUGGAUGCAAGCUGAACUCUGAACUUUUACCUUUUCCCCUGACAGACGGGCAGUUUCUUGGCAUUCAUACUAAUCUUGCCUGUGCUUGAAUAGUAAUUCCAUUAGGGUUAUGACUGCAGCUGUACAUAUGCAACGACCUCAAAUACAAUUUCUUUAUGGAGAUGGGCAAUAGGAAUAUUAAAAUUUUAAGCCAAAGAGGAUGUAAUUUAACUUUGCAUUAUUUAUUGUGGAUACAAAUCCUUUAUAAUAUUAAAGGAUAAAGAAUUAAUAAAAGAAAGAUCCCAUAAACAAUCCAUAAAGUCAAAUGUAGUUCGUGAUUUAAUGCAAUUGCUUUUUAGUGUCUCCUGGUCGCAGACUCACAGCUCAUUAAAAACAUCUAGUCAAGAAUCAAGCAUCGCCGCUGCCUUGAGGUCUCUGGGUGCUUCAGGAAGCAGCUCCAGCUCUGCUCCUACAUAGACCUGAGAGUGCCUGUGGCUAAUCUUAAUCCAGAGGUUACUGUGGUUAAUUAGUGCCUGAAACCAAGCCCCGUGCACCUGCUGAGCAUGGCAUCAUCCCUACAUGUACUCACAAUGCCUUGGGCUGGGCAGUGCCCCGGGCUUGGUUGUGUCCCAGGCUGGGUCUCCAGGGUUUGGGAGCUCUGGUUUUCCCUACUCUGAUCUCUAUCAGAGAGUUUUCACUUCUGAACACUUCAUUUCUGCUCCAGAAACUGUGUGCCUUUAGCUUUUAAUAGGUGAAUGGCGUGUCCUAACUGCUGGGACAGGAAGGGUUUGGAGCAUCAUCCACAAAAGGGGGUAGAAAACCCAGGCUUUCCUACCAUCACUGUUAAUGUUC
Molecule: non-coding RNA, 4569 nt
Organism: Coturnix japonica (Japanese quail)
Lineage: Eukaryota; Metazoa; Chordata; Aves; Galliformes; Phasianidae
Source: RefSeq, a predicted model, not a curated record